ACGAUGCCUUCAAGAAGGAAAGUUGGUGUGAGGUUUUUACCCACAGCCCACAAACAACCACCCACGGACAAGAGGAACUUCGCAACGCGACAAAGGGUUGCAGGAGGCUGACCAGAGGCCUUCUCCACCACCACACGCACCAGAGCCGGCGCCUCCAACCACGACGUAGGCGCCUCACAGAUCUGGCGACACCAACCGGUGCCGUCAGCUCCUGGGCCACGGUGCCGACCAUCUCACCCCACGUCGGCCUCGCCGGCAACCACACACAUCCCACGCCUGAAAUCCCCCUAGCCUGCAGCCGCCCGGAGCAGCUGCUCUGGCCACCUCCUUAGCCGCGCCGCUGGCUACGAGGCCUCACCGGCCGCCUCCACGGAUCCUCCGAGAAAGCUUCAAGAUAUGCCUUCAUGCCCCGAAGCCGCCUCAGCCACGCUGGCGUCCUUAGAACUGGCCGGAAGGGGAAGGCCCCGCCGCCGUCCGCCCAUGGGGGCUUCGCCCGCCGGCAUCCUCCGACGGCGGCGAGGGGAGGAGGGUGGGGAAGUUGGACAUGUUGGCGUCGCUAGGGUUUCGGGCCGCCCGAGCCGCUCCUUGGGAGCGACGCGGGGGAGACGUUGAGCUUUUUUGCUUCGUGUCCUUCUCACACUCUGCUCGAUGGUUAAUAGCCCACUAGGUCCCUGUUGUCCACCAAGCCCAACUAGAAGACCUUCCUGAUCCGUGAACUGCUCGAUCCAGGUUGAACUCGAAGGGGGGCCCGCCUCCGCCCGAGACCCCGAGUCCCUGGCGCACGCAGCCAAGGGGCAAUCGCUGCUCCUUCCGCCGUCUUUCCAAAUCCCUAAUGUCUGCAGCAGGAUAACCGCGAGAGGAAGCUUCCAAGGUGACGUACCUAAUCCCCAAUCUAAUUUUGCUCCCUAAAUAAAGCAAUCAAGCAGGCAGCAGGUUAAUCUACUUCUACUCAGAUUAAGAAAUUUAUUUUGUUGUUCAUAGACCAUAAGAACUGUUGGAUUGUGUUCAGAUUAAGACGUGUCUCCGAACUAAAUUGGGUGAGACUUUCUCCACCAUUGCAUGAUAGUCCACGUCGAGAAUGAACUAGCAGUAAAGUUCAGUUCCGACGAAAUUAUUGAUGCCUUUGAUCUUUGUGGUGGUCGCCGUGAUCGUAGAGAUAACUUCAAAUUAGUAGAAAUGUAAUUUGUAUUUUUAUUUUGACUACUUAGACCUGACUGUAUUUGAUAUGAUAUCAAGACUAUAUGUCUUCAAUGGAGUUCAUCUUUCAGUUUUACUUUUUCUCUCAUGCCGAAUUUCUGGCUCCGUCCCUUUUUAUGACAUAGGCAUUACGAGCCUUCAGAUCGGCAGUCCGGGAGAUAGGUUGCAUCCAUGACAUGGUGAAGGUCCAACCGCAUCAACAUCUGCAUAAACGCCAAAGAAGAAUCUUUGUAUGCCAACAAGCAAGACCGAGGCACAUCCAGGAAGGGCGUCAACCAUCAAGGCCCUCCAAGGGCAAUCGUCAUAACAAGCAAUCCUCCAGAAUGGAAACAACAAGUGUGGUCAAUCCGACGGUGUAAUGAUGAAGUUCUCAGAACAUACAACUCCGAAAGGCCGCCGGACAAAGAAAGAAAAAAACAAGUUCGUUGAAGGCUACGCGGCUAUGCCGAAGAAUCCUGCGACUGUGAUCCCGGCUUCAAGGCUCCAUCUCCUUUCUGUACACUGUACUGAAGACAAACCCAAAAGAACACCAGGUAGAUUACUCCAUCCCGAGCCGUGCCGUGCCUUGCAACACAACCGCUAGGGUUUCGUCCGUCUCUCGCUUUUGCGCUGUCCUCGUAGUCUACUCCAUCCCGAGCGUCGGCGUGCACCAGCGAUCGGGAUAGUAGGUCUCCAGUUGGAAAGCGCUCCGCGCGACUGCUCGCUUCCGUCACCACGGGUCGUCUACCGUCCAAGUCCGGCGGUGCUACGUGCCGCCGUCUUCGUCUCCAGGAACGUCGUCAAGUCAACUCGAUCGUCAUCACGGCUUCUUCAUCUUCAUCGAAACAGCAAUUUCCUGAUUUAACUAUGAGUUUAGCCGAUGCAUUGAAGCCGGAUAAAUUUUCCGGGAUGUACUUCAAGAGAUGGCAAUUAAAGGCCAUGCUCUGAUUGCAGACUCUGAAAGUAUUCUGAGUGACAGACGGCAAACCAGAGGGAAAUUUAUCUGAGGAAACUCAGAAAAAUUUCCAGGAUGCCAAUGUUGCCUUUAGAGGAUGCAUUUUGAGUGUUCUUUCUGACCGUCUUUGUGAUGUGUAUAUGCACAUAGAAGACGGGAAGGAGCUGUGGGAUGCACUGGAUGCUAAAUUCGGUGCAACCGAUGCAGCCAGUGAAUUGUAUACCAUGGAGUCACUGAACGACUACAAGAUGGUGGAUAACCGUUCUGUAGUUGAACAGGCGCAUGAGAUACAUAUCAUUGUGAGAGAGCUCAACCUUCUCAAGUGUGAUUUACCCGACAAGUACGUGGUUGUGUGCAUUAUUGCAAAGUUAUCUCCCGCGUGGAGGAACUUCGCCACGUCUCUAAAACACAAGAGACAAGAGAUAUCAGUUGAACAACUUAUAGAGUUCCUUGAUGUUGAAGAGAAAGCUCGGGCUAAGGACACCACUGAGAAGGCUGCUGAUUUCCCGUCUAACGCCAAUAUGGUACAGAGGAACCUUCUCGGCAACGGAAAGAACAAAGGGAAGAAGUUCGCUGUUGUUAACAACAACAAGCCUGCAGACUACUACCUUCAAGAAGAAGAAAGUAAACAAAGGCGAGAUGAAUUGCUUCACCUGUGGAGAGCUCGGCCACUUUUCUAGAGACUGUCCUGAUUGUGCAGAUCGGAGAGGGAAAAGGGGACAGAAGACUGUCAAUGUCGUGACCGCUAGCAACACUGACACCAUGGAAGGGAUUCAACCGUCUUGAUGGGGAACGGAUCGCAUGCAGCUGUUCGUGGAGUUGGUAUGGUCGAUCUGAAGUUUACUUCGGGGAAGAUCGUGCGGCUAAGGAACGUGAUGCAUGUCCCCUCCAUGAACAAAUAUCUCGUUAGCGGUUCCCUUUUAUGCAGAGAUGGUUUUAAGGUAGUUUUAGAGUCUAAUAAAGUAGUUGUGUCCAAACAUGGACAAUUUAUUGGUAAACGCUAUGAGUGCGGAGGCUUGUUCCGUUUUUCCCUUUCUGAUUUUAGUGAUAUGUCAGUGAACCAUAUUUGUGGCAGUGUUAAUGAUAAUGCAAGUGUUUGGCACUCU
This is a long non-coding RNA of Brachypodium distachyon (stiff brome), 3237 nucleotides long. RefSeq lists it as uncharacterized. NCBI's taxonomy places the organism in Eukaryota, Viridiplantae, Streptophyta, Magnoliopsida, Poales, Poaceae. The record is from RefSeq and is a predicted model, not a curated record. The transcript has 4 exons.